Molecule: long non-coding RNA, 373 nt
Organism: Tympanuchus pallidicinctus (lesser prairie-chicken)
Lineage: Eukaryota; Metazoa; Chordata; Aves; Galliformes; Phasianidae
Exons: 3
Source: RefSeq, a predicted model, not a curated record
GUUACUCAAGUCAUGCAGAGAAGCAGAAAACUUGCUUACUAUGCUAAUAAUCUGAAAGUCAGAUCUCUCCUAGAUCCCAUUUAAGUGCUGACUGCCACUGAGUAAGGAUGUUUUUCUGGAGAUUGCUCCUUGUGGAGUUUACUAUGAGCCUACAACACUGGUACUGCAGCAUCCAAAGCACCGAUGGGUUCUUGCUGUUUGUGUUGCAGCUGCCCUGCAGUAAUGACCUAUGAUGUGUGCCCCACAGAGCAACAGAAGAUGAUGCAGAUGUACUGCUGGUUUUAACUUCCAUCCCAUUUAAAUGGCCAUUUAAUUUGUGUGUAUAUUGCUUGCUUAUUUUUUAACAAGACAAAAUAAACAUCUAGGACUCAAA